Molecule: ribosomal RNA, 253 nt
Filed under: uncultured bacterium
Lineage: Bacteria
Description: partial 16S ribosomal RNA
Rfam family: Bacterial small subunit ribosomal RNA
Source: RNAcentral
UACAGAGGUCUCGAGCGUUGUUCGGAUUCAUUGGGCGUAAAGGGUGCGUAGGCGGCGUGGCAAGUCUGAUGUGAAAUCCCGGGGCUCAACCCCGGAACUGCAUUGGAUACUGCCAUGCUAGAGUACUGGAGAGGAGAUUGGAAUUUACGGUGUAGCAGUGAAAUGCGUAGAUAUCGUAAGGAAGACCAGUGGCGAAGGCGAAUCUCUGGACAGUUACUGACGCUGAGGCACGAAAGCGUGGGGAUCAAACAGG